This 163-nucleotide non-coding RNA is filed under the name Micavibrio aeruginosavorus. RNAcentral describes it as "6S RNA". It matches the Rfam family "6S / SsrS RNA". Rfam says of the family: E. coli 6S RNA was the first non coding RNA to be sequenced, but its function was unknown until recently. It consists of 184 nucleotides that fold into an extended hairpin structure with a large single-stranded internal bulge. The record is from RNAcentral. Lineage: Bacteria; Pseudomonadati; Bdellovibrionota; Bdellovibrionia; Bdellovibrionales; Pseudobdellovibrionaceae.
GUUUAGCUGCGGUACUCGUGAAUCCAACUUAAUUCCAGAGGCCGAUAAUAGUUCGCAUUAGGGAUCUGUCCCUGACCGGAUCUUGGUUCGGUUAUAUGGAGCCCACCUGUUUUUCAGGGCCACAUGUGAAUUCCGUUUUGGACACGGUACUCGCGGCGCUUUA